UGGCUGCAGAGGCUUGAUCCCGACUCGACACUCUCAGCGCUUUCUCCGGACACUCCGCACUUAUCCCUGGAUAUUUCCACUGUCGUUUUAAAAGCAUCUCUGGAUUUCUCCACACGACUGCAGCCAGACUGCUCGCCACAUCGCUCGCUAUCUUUAUUUUUGCACUUUAAUGAAGCAGCUCGCAUCGUAUAAUUUCAUGUCAGUCUACCAGACAGUAACGUUAGCAGCUUCAAACUGCCCUCUUCUUCAUCUUGCACCGUAGAUGAGAAGCUAUUUCUGAUGACCAAUUUAUGCCACUGUAAUUGACAAACUGCCUCGCUGAUUUAAUGUAUUUUAUUCCUGUCUUUUCGAGGGUAUUUAUAUGUUAUGGAAAUGUCAUGUGCUGUUUUUCCAGCAUGCAUGCAUCUAUAAUCUCCAUCAGAGCCCAAAGCUCUGAGUCUGCAUAGAAAUUUCACAACAGUCCUUUUCCCUUUGCAUACUGAAUUUUGCGUUUAUUUUCGUUCUGCUGCCUUUUUUGGACUCUUUCAGCUGCGCAUUCAGUACAGUGUUACUUGGGUCUGUCUGUUUUUACGGGUACUUUUUUUUUUUCGGAAAAAAAUAAGCCUUUUAUACCGCUGUACAACAUGCAACACUUUUUUAAAGAAAGCUGCCAAAGCUCGACUUGUGAACAAAAAGGACAAUCCUGGAUUGUUUGGCCUCAAUUCUGCUGUACACCUGACUUCUUAAACAUCACAUGGUAAGGCCA
This is a long non-coding RNA of Cyprinus carpio carpio, 745 nucleotides long. The record is from Ensembl. Lineage: Eukaryota; Metazoa; Chordata; Actinopteri; Cypriniformes; Cyprinidae.